AGUAACGGCGAGUGAAGCGGGAAAAGCUCAAAUUUAAAAUCUGGUGGCCUUUGGCCAUCCGAGUUGUAAUUUAGAGAAGCGUCUUCCGCGCUGGACCGUGCACAAGUCUCCUGGAAUGGAGCGUCAUAGAGGGUGAGAAUCCCGUCUUUGGCACGGACUCCCGGUGCUUUGCGAUGCGCUCUCGACGAGUCGAGUUGUUUGGG
RNAcentral lists this ribosomal RNA (203 nucleotides) under Russula alboareolata. RNAcentral describes it as "partial large subunit ribosomal RNA". It matches the Rfam family "Eukaryotic large subunit ribosomal RNA", at positions 82 to 278 of the family's 3401-position model. Lineage: Eukaryota; Fungi; Basidiomycota; Agaricomycetes; Russulales; Russulaceae. The record is from RNAcentral.